Molecule: ribosomal RNA, 497 nt
Filed under: uncultured bacterium
Lineage: Bacteria
Description: partial 16S ribosomal RNA
Rfam family: Bacterial small subunit ribosomal RNA
Source: RNAcentral
GAUGAACGCUGGCGGCGUGCCUAAUACAUGCAAGUCGAGCGAACAGACGAGGAGCUUGCUCCUCUGACGUUAGCGGCGGACGGGUGAGUAACACGUGGAUAACCUACCUAUAAGACUGGGAUAACUUCGGGAAACCGGAGCUAAUACCGGAUAAUAUAUUGAACCGCAUGGUUCAAUAGUGAAAGACGGUUUUGCUGUCACUUAUAGAUGGAUCCGCGCCGCAUUAGCUAGUUGGUAAGGUAACGGCUUACCAAGGCGACGAUGCGUAGCCGACCUGAGAGGGUGAUCGGCGACACUGGAACUGAGACACGGUCCAGACUCCUACGGGAGGCCGCAGUAGGGAAUCUUCCGCAAUGGGCGAAAGCUUGACGGAGCAACGCCGCGUGAGUGAUGAAGGUCUUCGGAUCGUAAAACUCUGUUAUUAGGGAAGAACAAAUGUGUAAGUAACUAUGCACGUCUUGACGGUACCUAAUCAGAAAGCCACGGCUAACUACGUG